GACAGAGGGGGCAAGCGUUGCUCGGAAUUACUGGGCGUAAAGGGCGCGUAGGCGGGAUGGCAAGUCGGUCGUGAAAUCCCUCGGCUCAACUGAGGAUCGUCGAUCGAUACUGCCGUUCUUGAGGAUUGCAGAGGAGACUGGAAUUCCCGGUGUAGCGGUGAAAUGUGUAGAGAUGCGGAGGAACACCGAUGGCGAAGGCAGCCCCCUGGGCUAACACUGACGCUCAGGCACGAAAGCGUGGGGAGCAAACAGG
This 253-nucleotide ribosomal RNA is filed under the name uncultured bacterium. RNAcentral describes it as "partial 16S ribosomal RNA". It matches the Rfam family "Bacterial small subunit ribosomal RNA", at positions 524 to 776 of the family's 1533-position model. The record is from RNAcentral.